AGUAACUGCGAGUGAAGCGGGAAGAGCUCAAAUUUUGAAUCUGGCGGUCUUUCGGCCGUCCGAGUUGUAAUCUAGAGAAGCGUUUUCCGCGCUGGACCGUGUAUAAGUCUCCUGGAAGGGAGCGUCGUAGAGGGUGAGAAUCCCGUCUUUGACACGGACUACCAGUGCUAUGUGAUGCGCUCUCGACGAGUCGAGUUGUUUGGGAAUGCAGCUCAAAUUGGGUGGUAAAUUCCAUCUAAAGCUAAAUAUAGGCGAGAGACCGAUAGCGAACAAGUACCGUGAGGGAAAGAUGAAAAGAACUUUGGAAAGAGAGUUAAACCGUACGUGAAAUUGCUGAAAGGGAAACGCUUGAUGUCAGUCGCGUCGGCCGGGGAUCAACCUUGCUUCAUCGCUCGGUGUAUUUCCUGGUCGACGGGUCAGCAUCAGUUUCGAUCGCCGUACAAGGGCGGAGGGAAUGUGGCACUCUUCGGAGUGUGUUAUAGCCUUUCGUCGUAUGCGGUGACUGGGACUGAGGAACUCAGCACGACCCCUCGAGGGUUCGGGGCUUCGGCCUACGUAUCGUGCUUAGGAUGCUGGCAUAAUGGCCUUAAGCGACCCGUCUUGAAACACGGACCAAGGAGUCUAACAUGCCUGCGAGUGUUUGGGUGCAAAACCCGAGCGCGUAAUUAAAGUGAAAGUUGAGACCUCUGUCGUGGAGGGCAUCGACGCCCGGACCUGAGUCUUUGACGACGGAUCUGCGGUAGAGCAUGUAUGUUGGGACCCGAAAGAUGGUGAACUAUGCCUGAAUAGGGUGAAGCCAGAGGAAACUCUGGUGGAGGCUCGUAGCGAUUCUGACGUGCAAAUCGAUCGUCGAAUUUGGGUAUAGGGCGAAAGACUAAUCGAA
RNAcentral lists this ribosomal RNA (883 nucleotides) under Alpova trappei. Its description in RNAcentral is "eukaryotic LSU rRNA". It matches the Rfam family "Eukaryotic large subunit ribosomal RNA", at positions 82 to 939 of the family's 3401-position model. Lineage: Eukaryota; Fungi; Basidiomycota; Agaricomycetes; Boletales; Melanogastraceae. The record is from RNAcentral.